ACAAUUAGAAAUUUAUUUCCCUCACUGUAGUAUUCCCGGAACCUCGGCAAAGAGGGUAGCGAUCAGCCUCUUAGGCAUUAUCCCAGCCUGGGGUGAAAGGGACAAAGGACCCACCCCACAAAAGCAGCCAUUCUCACGGCCCCAUGAAGCAGUAAGAGCUAGAAGUCCCCCUCAGACUCCUCUGUACUGGGGACCAAUGAGGCUCCUUGGAAUGUUCCAGAGACUUCCUUGGGGAACAGGAAGUGCCUUCAAGGCUUUCGAAUGGCAGUGGAAGGAAACCAUUGUUAUUGGAAACAAAAUCUAACCUGGUAACUGCAGCCCUGUCUUCUUAGAAGCUGAGGACCAAAACACAAUCCAAACAGCAGUGGAACAAAAUCUCUAGGCCCUCUCCUUCUUGAAGACCUUGAUGAGGAAGAGAGAAGGAGCAACUCUUCAGGCGGACGCCCCACUGCGUAGGGAGGAUCCUGAUGAAUUUCUGGUCUGCGGAGAGGCUCAGCGUCUAGUCUGGGAGUGAAAAACUGGAAAGCACAACUGUUCUGUGUAUUUAAAGGGAGGAAGAUUUGAGGGUUUACUGCAAACAGGGGGUGCAUUGGAGCAGAGGAGAAAGGAGAGAGCAAACUGGUGGAAGAACCAGGAGCCCAGGCUGGUGACAAUGGUCAGAGACUUUAGGAACCAGAAGUCCCAUGGCUCACCUAAGCCAGGCACAGAAACAGAUGGUUCUCAACAUCCAGGAAAGUUGCUGAGCUCCAUGCCUGGAUCUGCAAAAAGGAGAGGAUGCUGCCAAGGGAGGGAAGAGCCAGAGGAGGUCUGAGUUCUGCCAAAGGUCAAACACGAGGUGCAGAAUCCACAGGGAGACUCAGGGCGAGGGUUUGAGAAGACAGCCCUCAAAGGAUUCCUUGGUGUGACUUGCAGGGAAGUUCCAAGAAAGCUCCCCUGAUCCAAAGCCACCCCAAUGGCAGGUCUGAUGCCCAUGCAGAAGGUGAUAAACACUCUUGCCCAUCCUGCCCAGAGCAGACCACGCGCAGAGCUCAAGCCUGGAAGGACUUUUGCAAGAGCCCAAUUCCUUUCCAACCUCAAGCUUGUCCAUAAAUGACCAUGAGAUCAGGGGAGUGGAAAUAUAGCAAGUGAGGACUGAUGAAAAGAACUCGGGGUGUUUGGACUAAAACAAGAAGGCCUGGGAGGACGAGAGAACCAUCUCCAAACCAGGAUGGGAAUGGGCUUAUCAUCUAUUAUGAUUCUGGAGGGCGAAACUGAAGUCAGAAGAUAGAAGCAGCAGGAAAAAAUAACUUGGCUCAAGGCGAGGGGGGGCGUUCUUGUCGCUUGAGAAAGUGAAAGUGACUUCCUGUGAACAGUGAGAGAAGAGGCAGAGGAGGUGAGAGCCUGACCUCCGGUGCUUGGUGCGGAGUGGUGGGGCACAGUGUCCAAGCUGAAAUGGGGUGAGAUUCUUGGAUGGGAUGCCCUGAUUCUAACCACCCCCCCGCUAAGAUCCCAGCAAUAACACCACCUGCAGAGCCCACCAUGGGAAACGGAGCUGCUCACAGGGCAGGAGGUGGGUCCCUGAAGCUGUGGUGACCCAGCACUUUGGGGAUUAUUUCCAGAGUAAGCAUGAGUGUCUGUGAGUGCACGUGGGGACAGCAGGAUAGACCCUCAGCAAGGUCUUGCAAUGACCUUCUCAAGUGGGCCUUCCCUGAGCAGAGGGGUUUCCAGAACAUCUCUUUGCCUGAGUCACUGACUUAAAGGCAGAGAAUUGGGGAACAGGGGGUUCUCCGCUGGGCAGAGUAACUCCCCGUGUUCUCAGGUGUUCCCAAGGAGCGUGUGUGCUGAGCGCCGAGGGGAUUGGGUGGGAAGGCUGCAGAGCUAGAAAGCCUGAGAGAUCCACUAAGGGGGUCUCCAUAAACUGGGUGAGCUGGCCAAUGGGGCGCUCUUUCCUCACCUCCAGUACAUCGGGUGCCAUGGAAGAGGCUUUAGACACAGUGACCUAAGUCUCUGUGGACAGCAAUUACGAUGAGAGCAUUGGCACCUGCCACUGUGCUGGGAGGCUGGGCAAGGCCAGCUCCCAUCACCUGGACUGACCAUCUCGUGAUCAUGGGACCAGAGCAGGACACCUGGAGACUUGGAUUUCAGAGAGCAGUUUUCAUGGUCAAUGCGAGAACACCCUCAGCCUGGGCCUAAUGAAGACGUGGACUCUGGUGCAGAAGUUCCAAAUGUCCUUAAGGACUGCCUUUAAAAUCCAUCACUUUGACAUUUUGGCAUCGCUAAUGCCCCUGGUCUUAUUUCGCCCAUUCCCCCCACCUACCCCUCCCUCUAAAACUGGGUUAUAUAAUAUUUGAGUGUCAUAAAGCACUCUAAGCAGCAGGCUUCGGGGUGAAGGCAGGCUCUCCAGUGAUCCUUCAAGGAAGAAUUGAACAGCUAAACAGGGUUUGGAAGCUCCAGGGAGCAGAUUGAGUAACGGUGUUUAGAGCACUGCCAUAUACAAUUUUCUGGAUCCUCGACUACAGCAGCACAGGGAAAAGGGGGUUUGUGUAGCGAAGCAUCACUUUGAUGGGUAUAAAAAGAGUAUUGACUUAACAUUUACUGCCUCACAGUCAGGGAAAUUCUACAGCAAAAGCAUCUCAUCAACAUGAGGCUGACUCGAGGCUCUUUGAACAGGAUGGAGUUAAAAAGAAUCCAAAAGGAAGGACGCAAACCAUGUAGAUUGUUCCUCUUGCUCCAAUGAUUGUACUUAAAGUGACAUGUUUAUUUAUUUUUAAAUAAAAAUUAGAAGCUAAAAUUCUCUCAAGCACAUAACAGCUGAGUUCAGAGAGGGUUUGAUGAAUUAAGCAAGUAAACACUUCACAAAAACACUCCACCAUUUGGUUAAAGAGACUGUCACUGCUCAGGGGAGUGCCGGGAUUUUAAUAAUGAAAAAUACCUCUUCACUGAAGACUGCGUGGGUGGAGGGCAGUCUGGAUUCCAUAAUCAAAUCUGUCAUUUUCGAGGAGGCUAGUUUUCUCUCUAAACCCAGACGUUCUUUGAAUAUGAGAUGGCUCUGACACUUGUCUUUCAGUCUCUGGUUCAAAUCAUCUUUAUUUCCUCCAAGCCCCGCAGCUUUGGAAAGAAGAAGGCACGAGUUUUUGGAGAAGAGCAUUGUGUGCCUCAAAAACGGGCAUAGAGCGAGUUCCCGUUGUGGUUCAGCGGGUAAUGAACCCGACUAGGAUCCAUGAGAACAUGGGUUCAAUCCCUGGCCUCGCUCAAUUGGUUAAGGAUCUGGCGUUGCUGCAAGCAUAGGUCACAGAUGUGGCUCAGAUUGCACGUUGCUGUGGCUGUGGUGUAGGCUGCCAGCUGCAGCUCUGAUUCGACCCCUAGCCUGAGAAUUUCCAUAUGACGUGGGUGGGACCCUAAAAAAGCAAAAAAAAAAAAUUGUAUAUAGAAACCAAGGUUUUGCAAGGGACAGAAACCAACUCUAAAUAACUGAAGCGGAAAAGGAAAAUUAAUAGCUCACAAACCCACAGGACAGUGAGGCCAGGGCCGCUCUCUCUCUCUCUCUCUCUCUCUCUCUCUCUCUCUCUCUCUCUCUCACACACACACACACACACACACACCGUCUCUCUCUCUGAGUUGCCCUCAUUCUGAGGGUCAGCUGGCCCAGGAAAUCUGUCAUACACCUCAGUUCUAUCCUACCAGGCCUUGUGGCCUUACACCUCCCAACCAGACAAGGCAGAAACUUCUCCCUACUUACUAUUUGUUUGUUGUUUGUUCGUGUUCUUGUUUUGUUUUGUUUUUUAUGGCCGCACCCUCAGCACAUGGACGUUCCCAGGUUCGGGGUCAAAUCUGAGUGGCGUCUGGGACCUACACCACAGCUCACAGCAACAACGCAUCCUUAACCCACUGAGCGAGGCCAGGGAUCGAACCUACAUCCUCAUGGAUACUAGUUGGGUUCAUAACCCUCUGAACCACAUGGGAACUCCAUUCCACUUAGUAUCAUAAAACAGUAUGCAGAAGUUCCUGGGCCAGGUAUCAAACCCAUGCCACAGCCAUGACAAUGCCUGGUCCUUAACCCACUGAGCCACCAGGGAACUCCUCUUUUACUUUUUUAGUGUGGCUAAUAAAAAAUUCUAAAAGACAUAUUCAGCUGGAAUUUUAUUUCAGUCAGGGGUGGCUUCUCUAAGAUCAAGGACCUAGCCUUCACUACCUGAGGCCAGCCUAUCCAGCUAGGUAUUCAGAGGGCGAACAGGAUGGAAUUGACUUUCCUUCUAACGUAAGCGUGUCCUUAGGGUCUCAGUGCGUUCGGUUCAGGGAGUUGACUUUUUUUUUUUAACUCUAGCCAGAGUCCCUGCUUUGGUAUCUCUAAGCCAUGCCCCUAAAAGAAUUACAUCAAAAAUCAGCCUCCGUUUCUUUAGAGAGGCACAAAGCGAGAGCCAACAUACAGUUACGAGUCUUUGUCUGGAUUCCAAAUCCCUAUAUAAAUCCACAAGCUAUCAAGACUUCACGCCAGCCCCUGCUGCAGGUGGAACAGCAGGGGUGAUUCAGGGUAAAAUGUACUCUUAUCCGUGUCGUUGUGCCACAAAGAUGUCAGAUUGUAGAUGCAGCCUUUGCAGGUGCUUGAUGCACUAGCCAGCUGAUGAAACGGAACAGCUUUUCGCUUCAUGCCAGCCUGUUUUCUACAUGCAACCCUUUUACUCUGUGGGAAGCCAGCGUCGGGUGGGGAAGGGAAUGAAAGUCUGGGUUGGAAAAUGCAUUGUCUUCCACCCAGAAAACCUUAGCCGGGAAACAAAUGUAGACGAGGCAGCCUUGCUUCUAUACAGAAAGCACCUUGCAUACACUCCCCGCUUCCCCUCCCAGCUCCCAGGCAAGGAGGAAGGCAGGUCUCUGAGAUGCCAAUGUUAGUCAAAGUCUGUCCCUAAAAGCUUGUGACCUCAAAGGAGCCCUCCAACAUUCCGCCUGCUGGCUUUGGUCCUGGUUAGGUAAUAAGGCAUUCAAGGACACGUCAGAAGCCCCCGUUGCAUCUCAGUGGGUUAAGAACCCAACAAUGUCCAUGAGGACUCGGGUUCGAUCCCUGGCCCCUCUCAGUGGGUUAAGGAUCCGGCAUUGGCACAAACUGCGGCAUGGGUCAUGGAUGCAGCUCUGAUCUGGAGUUCUUGUGACUGCGGGGGAGGCCGGCGGCUAUGGCUCCCAUUCGACCCCUGGCCUAGGAACUCCCAUAGGCCACAGGUGUGGCCUUAAAAAAAAAAAAAAAAAAAAAAAAAAAAGACACUCCAGAAAAUAUUUCCAAAUGCAAACUACAGCCCGCCCUGCUGCCCCUCCACUCCAGUGAAAAUAAGAUGCAAAAUUUGCCACAGCCUCUAAGACCCUACAGGACUGAGCAGGGUCUGCCCCUUGGGCUCAUCUCUUGCUGCUCUUUUUCCAUCACACUCUGGCCUUUGCUUUGCUGCUGUUCCUGGAACAGAUGGAGCUGGUCCUGCCAUGGGGCCUUUGCCUGGGCAGCGCCCUCGGCUGGAGCCCUCUUCCCACUGACUCUCUUCUCCGCCCCAGAGGGGGCUUCCUAGAUCAACGCCUCUGAAUGGGUACAACCCCACCCCACCUCCAGCCAGACUCCAAUGCAUUAGCUUAUCCUCUGUUCUCUGGGACACAUAGAUGUCUAGCUGAAUCAUCUUUCAUCUGUUUAGCAGCUUGUCAUCAACAUUAACCUGGUGAGAUGUAAGCCCUUUGAGGGCAGUGGCCCUGUUGGAGAUUCCCAGUGUCCCCAGCUGUGCCUGAUAGGGAAAUGAAUGAGAUUUACACACACACACACACACACACACACACACGGAGGGGCAGAUGGGAUGUACCACAUAAAGGAAUGGUAGGUCGCCGGUAUGAGUUGAGUUGUGUCUUCUCCCUCCCCCAUUCAUACGUUGAAAUUCUCGCCUCAGAGUGUAACUCUAUUUGGGGAAAGCUCACUGCAGAUGUCAUUUGCUAAGAGGCGAUCAUGCUGGGGUAGGGUGGGCCUUUAGUCCAGCAGGACCGAUGUCCUUAUAAAAGGGGAAAUUUGGACUCAGAAAAGCACACGUGGGGAACAUUAUGUGAAGGUCAAGGCAGAAACUGGGGUGAUGGUUCUCCAUGGCAAGGAUUUCCAGCCAACGUCUAGAAACUAGACACUACACAAGAAGAACAGACAGACGGUCACAGCCCCAGAAGUAACCAACCCCGCUGACAUUGUCUUCUAGCUUCCAGAACCGUAAAGACAAUAAAUUAGUCUCUAAGCCAUCCAGUUUGUGGUCCUUUGUUAUGGCAGCCAUAGAAAACUAUUCCAGUGGUUCCAGUGAGAUUCAGGUAACAGGAUUAAAUGCUUUAUUACAGUGCAUCAGGGUGUAUCAGUCUUUUUUUUUUUCUUUCUUAUUUGCAGCUAGGAAAAAAAAAAUCAUUGCCCCAAAGGAGCAGAGCAGUCAGUAGGUUGAAAAGCUGUGAUCGGACCAUAUUGCUGAGAGCUUUAUCCAAUGACUUGUUGUUAUGAAAGCCGUCACGGUCAACUCUUCCACCCCCCCAGAUGGCCUCCAGCCUCUCAGCUUAUCAAAUCAGUUCUCCACUCAGUGUGUGAAAGCAUCUUAAAGAUGUUCCGAUACAUAAUAGCUGCUCAAUAAACAUUAGUUCCUGCCUUUCCCAUCCCUGCUGCAAGACAAACCCAUUCCUAAAGCAUGUCUCGUGUUGCCCAUUCCUAUGACUUCCUACGUUCAUUUAUUCAAACAUCCCUUCAUUCGUGAAACAUAUACUGAAGGUUUACUCUAU
RNAcentral lists this long non-coding RNA (6744 nucleotides) under Sus scrofa (pig). Its description in RNAcentral is "lncRNA (ENSSSCG00055006895.1)". The record is from RNAcentral. Lineage: Eukaryota; Metazoa; Chordata; Mammalia; Artiodactyla; Suidae.